UAUCCCUACAUAGCGGAUGGGACC
This 24-nucleotide non-coding RNA is filed under the name Arabidopsis thaliana (thale cress). Lineage: Eukaryota; Viridiplantae; Streptophyta; Magnoliopsida; Brassicales; Brassicaceae. The record is from RNAcentral.